This 139-nucleotide ribosomal RNA is filed under the name Neisseria gonorrhoeae. RNAcentral's name for it is "partial 16S ribosomal RNA". It matches the Rfam family "Bacterial small subunit ribosomal RNA", at positions 1 to 126 of the family's 1533-position model. Lineage: Bacteria; Pseudomonadati; Pseudomonadota; Betaproteobacteria; Neisseriales; Neisseriaceae. The record is from RNAcentral.
AGAGAUUGAACAUACGUGUUUGCUCCUGGCUCAGAUUGAACGAUGGCCGCAUGCUUUACACAUGCAAGUCGGACGGCAGCACGAGGCAGCUUGAUUCUCGGGUCGCGCGUGGCGAACGGUCGAGUAACAUAUCGCAACG